This 272-nucleotide ribosomal RNA is filed under the name uncultured bacterium. RNAcentral's name for it is "partial small subunit ribosomal RNA". It matches the Rfam family "Bacterial small subunit ribosomal RNA", at positions 26 to 285 of the family's 1533-position model. The record is from RNAcentral.
AGAAUCAACGCUGGCGGCGUGCCUAACACAUGCAAGUCGAACGCGAAAGCCCCGCAAGGGGUAAGUAGAGUGGCAAACGGGUGAGUAACACGUGGGUGACCUGCCUUCGAGUGGGGGAUAACGUCCCGAAAGGGACGCUAAUACCGCAUAAUAUCCUGCCUUUUAAGAGGUGGACAUCAAAGCUGGGGACCGCAAGGCCUGGCGCUUGAAGAGGGGCCCGCGCCUGAUUAGCUAGUUGGUGGGGUAAUGGCUCACCAAGGCAUCGAUCAGUA